AUACAGGAGGCAGCAGUGGGGAAUAUUGGGCAAUGGGCGAAAGCCUGACCCAGCAACGCCGCGUGUGCGAUGAGGGCCUUCGGGUCGUAAAGCACUUUUCUGAGAGAUGAGCAAGGACAGUAUCUCAGGAAUAAGUCUCGGCUAACUACGUGCCAGCAGCCGCGGUAAAACGUAGGAGACAAGCGUUAUCCGGAUUUACUGGGCGUAAAGCGCGUGCAGGCGGUUCAGCAAGUUGGAUGUGAAAGCUCUUGGCUCAACUAAGAGAGGUCGUUCAAUACUACUGGACUUGAGGGCAUCAGAGGAAGAUGGAAUUCCCGGUGUAGUGGUGAAAUGCGUAGAUAUCGGGAGGAACACCAGUGGCGGAGGCGGUCUUCUGGGAUGCAUCUGACGCUCAGACGCGAAAGCUAGGGCAGCAAACGGGAUUAGAUACCCUGGUAGUCCC
This 442-nucleotide ribosomal RNA is filed under the name uncultured bacterium. RNAcentral describes it as "bacterial SSU rRNA". It matches the Rfam family "Bacterial small subunit ribosomal RNA", at positions 339 to 797 of the family's 1533-position model. The record is from RNAcentral.